AUUGAACGCUGGCGGCGUGCCUUACACAUGCAAGUCGAACGGCAGCAUGAUCUAGCUUGCUAGAUUGAUGGCGAGUGGCGAACGGGUGAGUAAUACAUCGGAACGUGCCCUGUAGUGGGGGAUAACUAGUCGAAAGAUUAGCUAAUACCGCAUACGACCUGAGGGUGAAAGUGGGGGACCGCAAGGCCUCAUGCUAUAGGAGCGGCCGAUGUCUGAUUAGCUAGUUGGUGAGGUAAAGGCUCACCAAGGCGACGAUCAGUAGCUGGUCUGAGAGGACGAUCAGCCACACUGGGACUGAGACACGGCCCAGACUCCUACGGGAGGCAGCAGUGGGGAAUUUUGGACAAUGGGUGAAAGCCUGAUCCAGCAAUGCCGCGUGUGUGAAGAAGGCCUUCGGGUUGUAAAGCACUUUUGUCCGGAAAGAAAUGGCUCUGGUUAAUACCUGGGGUCGAUGACGGUACCGGAAGAAUAAGGACCGGCUAACUACGUG
Molecule: ribosomal RNA, 490 nt
Filed under: uncultured bacterium
Lineage: Bacteria
Description: partial 16S ribosomal RNA
Rfam family: Bacterial small subunit ribosomal RNA
Source: RNAcentral